Long non-coding RNA from Sapajus apella (tufted capuchin), 1174 nucleotides. RefSeq lists it as uncharacterized. NCBI's taxonomy places the organism in Eukaryota, Metazoa, Chordata, Mammalia, Primates, Cebidae. The transcript is spliced from 4 exons. The record is from RefSeq and is a predicted model, not a curated record.
GCUUUAAAAUUGUCCCCUCUGUAGGGGUUUUGCUCUUAUGCCACAAGUAUUGCUGCUGUGUCUGCGAAACAGGAAGGAGCAGCAUCUCCCCACUAUUUCCCCGAUGAGUACCCCGAAGAUGGUGGAGUUCACGUGGUGAAGUUCUCUUUCUUCCACUGGCCUAAGUCUUAAAUUCCCCAAACGCUUGGAGCCUUGCAAGGCUGGGCAGCCGGCAGUUUCCCCAGCAGUUGCCCUGGCAUCUUGCCCUCUUUACACAAAGCAAUCACUGUUGCAGAAAAUGAGGGUCCUGGGAUCAUUUGGCACCACCCCUUGCUUGGCAUUUGCGUGGGAGAAGGGACUUUCUUUCUCUCUGACAAUAGAUUCUGAUCACAAACCAGGCCCCUUUCACUCAUGGAAUGACUCUGCCCAGAGGCAAAUAAAGAUGAACAUGUUCGACUGAUGGAUGAGAAGCACAUCCAGGCCCAGGAUUCCUUCUACUGCUCUGGGACUCAAGCAGAUACAUGGCUUCUGUUCUUGAGGAAAUUGAGAAUGUAGAAGGAUGCAAACAGUCUAGACAUAAACAUGAACCCAUUGACCCAACUAGAGUACAAUAGCAAAUAAACCCAAAGGCUCCGGGGCUUUUGACCUAUGGAAGAAUUGAAGCUGGUCAUCACACAGCAGGCUUUCUCCAUGUGGUGGUCCCUGGCAACUCUAGGUUUACACUGUCUCAGUUCAGCAAUCUCUUGCCAAACAUUUCCAGAAGAAUUCUCAGAAUUCUUAGGACUGAGACUGGUUGUUUGGCUUAGUCUGGGUCAUGAACAACUACCCUCUAAUCCUCCUGGAACUAUAACCAUGACCAGAGGAAUGUGGACUUUCUCAGUGACAAGGUGUGGGACAUGGCCCUAGAGGGCAAGUUCAUCUCCACCCCAACCACGUGGAGGAAUGCCUACUGUAGCAGAUGCUGUCAGUGCCCCAUCCUUAUUCCCUUGGUUCUUACUGUUUCAGUGGAUACUGGCUUAAUUUUCUAGUGUUAACACCCUCAUGUCUUUGCCUGAGGGCUUUCUCUCACCACCAGAGCCCACCAUGAACAUAUUCAAGAAAGGCUAGAAGUGUCAGGGAGUUAACACCUCAUAGGAGCAGUUCUCAGCCAAUGGCUGAUGGAGUUGGAAGGUAAAUACCCCCCCAAUUAAUCUUC